Molecule: transfer RNA, 89 nt
Filed under: Obba rivulosa
Lineage: Eukaryota; Fungi; Basidiomycota; Agaricomycetes; Polyporales; Gelatoporiaceae
Description: tRNA-Asn
Rfam family: tRNA
About the family: Transfer RNA (tRNA) molecules are approximately 80 nucleotides in length.
Source: RNAcentral
UGCCCCAUGGCUGAGUUGGUUACAGCGUCCGACUGUUACUUGAUUGUAACGUCAUCGGAAGGUCGUGAGUUCGAGCCUCACUGGGGCAG